Molecule: long non-coding RNA, 1020 nt
Organism: Cyprinodon tularosa
Lineage: Eukaryota; Metazoa; Chordata; Actinopteri; Cyprinodontiformes; Cyprinodontidae
Exons: 2
Source: RefSeq, a predicted model, not a curated record
AGGUAUAAAUGUAUGUGAUGAAAUGCCUCAGUCAGAGCUCUAUCUCUCUCUCUGAGGACGUUAAAUAACUUUUAACCGUAUUUCUUGCAAUCUUUCCUCAGCUUCAUAACUUCCCACCGUUUUAAAUGGGUUCUGAGAAACGACCAUUUAAUAGAUUUACGGUCCAAAGCUCAGAACCAGAGCAGAUCUUUGAGCAGAAGGUCUUCCUGGGUUUGCUGCUGCCUUCAUGCACUGAUCUACCAAAGGUUCUGGGUCCCAGAACCGAAUCCAAGACGUUCCGUCACUUCCGUCGCUGCGUGAAGAUGGUUCGGUGGGCAGGAACCCGUCUGAUUGUGUGCAUCACCUCAGAAUGAGAUGUCAGUCCAGCUGGAUGUAUCUAUGGAUGAUGAGGUCCACCUAGAAGAACAGAGAGGAUGAUUAAACAAAUGUAAGUUGAUCCUUCGUCUCCUUGGAGACUAGGUUUGGGUAAAGAAUGAAGAGGCUUCAGAGAGAGGAAGAAAACCUGGAUGUUAAAGAUGGACGACAGGAUCCCUUCCAAACCGCCAUGGGACAUCACUGGAUCAACCUGAAGAAGGUUUGGGAGGAUGGAGGGUCCUGAAGGUCUCAGCAUGUUCCAGUUGUCACAUCUGUUUGUGAGGCUGUGAAUGAUUCUGUAGGAUGUCUGAGCAGAGAACCAUUUCCCCCCGUUAGCAGGAUUGAAUUAUGUCAAAUCAUCAAACGGCUGAGUUUCCUCCUCAGAGUCCUGCUAAUGACCUUAUGAUUGGAUUCUGGCGCGUUGAAGCAGAGACACAUCUGAGCCGUGCAGGACACCGGACCUCUGAGACUGGAAUUAAACGACCCUGAUGGCUCCACAUCUGAUGAGCUUGGUUCACUGCCCACCAGUCCGUUCCACAACGCCAGGGUUGGAAUCAUCCGCUUGGUUAAAGGAAAAGUCGCUCAUAUUCAUCAAACAUCUGAAAGUUCUUUAAAUCUGAAAUGAUUCCAUCCUGUUCAAUAAAUGAUCAGUGUUUUUAAUUCAGA